Molecule: ribosomal RNA, 490 nt
Filed under: uncultured bacterium
Lineage: Bacteria
Description: partial 16S ribosomal RNA
Rfam family: Bacterial small subunit ribosomal RNA
Source: RNAcentral
AUUGAACGCUGGCGGCAGGCCUAACACAUGCAAGUCGAACGGUAACAGGAAGCAGCUUGCUGCUUCGCUGACGAGUGGCGGACGGGUGAGUAAUGUCUGGGAAACUGCCUGAUGGAGGGGGAUAACUACUGGAAACGGUAGCUAAUACCGCAUAACGUCGCAAGACCAAAGAGGGGGACCUUAGGGCCUCUUGCCAUCGGAUGUGCCCAGAUGGGAUUAGCUAGUAGGUGGGGUAACGGCUCACCUAGGCGACGAUCCCUAGCUGGUCUGAGAGGAUGACCAGCCACACUGGAACUGAGACACGGUCCAGACUCCUACGGGAGGCAGCAGUGGGGAAUAUUGCACAAUGGGCGCAAGCCUGAUGCAGCCAUGCCGCGUGUAUGAAGAAGGCCUUCGGGUUGUAAAGUACUUUCAGCGGGGAGGAAGGGAGUAAAGUUAAUACCUUUGCUCAUUGACGGUACCCGCAGAAGAAGCACCGGCUAACUCCGUG